AAGCUGAAAUAUAUAAGCUGUUUGUUGAAAUCUAGCUACGAAAUUAGACGAAAACGUUAAUAAAACAAGAAAAAGACGGUCGCCAAGACAAUUGCCUUUCAAUUAAAUUGAUAGACACAUAUUCAUAUGCGGUAGCACAUGUUGAUAUUGUAGUUAGAUGAGCUGACGCGUGACAAUGAGUUCAGUGCUGACAACGGUAGUCUUCCCUCCCUGCCACUCAAAGCCUCUCAGUGUUUGCCUAGCUGUCAGAGAAGUGAAGGGCACUCUCAGUCUCGAAUGGAUAUCGAAUCGGCCGUUUACAGCCCUCUUUCCGCACGUUGCGUAUACCAUAGUCCACCAGUGGCAUUUCAGUGAUAUUUUUAUCAAUGGGCCACCGUCAUUCAUGAAAAUCUUGAAGGAAAGGAUAAAUAUAUUGGUCUAAGUUCCGUAAAAUUAUUUCCGGCAUACGUUUUUAUCAUAGAUAAGUACGUUUAUCUUUACAGAUUACGAAUAGUGAUUGAUUUACUAACGACAAACAGGAAGCAUAAGUUAUGAGUAUAUUCAACACCGUCGCAGAUACUGAUGUUUUAUCCAAUAUUCUGUAAUAUUUUGGUGAACCUAUCGAUGUAUUAUAUCCUCAUCGAUUUAGAUAUCUUUUGGAUAUGUUGUAGAAAUCGAUAUUUUGAACAAUUUUUUCUUAUAAAUAUCGUAUAACCGGCACUCUCGCUUAGUUCUCGAGAUAUUUGCAAAAAAUUGUCGAUACCACCACAAUAAAUUCGUAAUUGUGCGUCCGUAGUAACAUAUGUGUUAGAAUUGGUUGCCGACCGCCUAACGACGGCCGGAUUAGAUGACGACUAACCCAAACCUAAUUCUUAUGUUUUGCCUAUAGUUUACGUAAAGAUACGAAUUUAGUUUGGGUUAAGUGUCAUUUAAUCCGACCGCCACGCCGUGUCGUAAGGCCGCCGACAACCCAUACUACUAACACGGACGCAGAAUUAUAGACAGAAUUCAGUGUGUUAGCACUGGCUGUUUUGCGCGAAUAUCUCGGAAAUUAAGCAUACCCGUCAGUUAUAUGUGCAGGAAAAAGUUGUUCACAAUAUUAAUUUGUACAACAUAUCCAAAAGUUAUUAAAAUCGAUGAUGACGUAACACAUCGAUAGAUUACCAUCAUGUAAGUAUUUCGCAUUAAAAUACCAUAAUACGGAACUUGUUUUGCAAGGAAUUACCUUGAAAUGACAAUCACCAAUUUUAUU
Molecule: unclassified non-coding RNA, 1231 nt
Filed under: Bombus terrestris (buff-tailed bumblebee)
Lineage: Eukaryota; Metazoa; Arthropoda; Insecta; Hymenoptera; Apidae
Description: misc RNA ENSBTSG00005021484.1
Source: RNAcentral